UGGCCCACAGAUGGUCUUGCUGAAAUACUGAGGGAAGGAUGGUCAGGAAGUGAAGAGGCUAAGAAGACAAGGAACAGGAAAGACUUGCUUGCAAGGGUUGUGCAAAUUUAUUUUUCAACAUUCUUUUCAUGCAACAGCUCUAUAAAUAGAGAGAACUGCAUCUCACCAGCACUUGGAGAGAUCUUAGGGAAAGCUUGAGUCAUGAGGUUUCUUUAUUUUUUCCUUGCUGUGGCUGUACUUCUCCUCCAUGUAGCUCCAGGGAAAACUCAGACCUGCAGAGAACUGCGAGGCCACUGCCGGGUUCCGUUAAGUACGAUAUGCCCAUAUGGAUCUCUUCCAGCCAACUGUGGCUUUAAUGGCAUAUGCUGCAAAUGGAAACCACCAACAACAGAAGCCUGUAGUAAACAGGGAGGUUACUGCCACGUUCCAGUGCGUGAAAGAUGUCCCUCUGGCAGAGAUCUACCGGCCAACUGUGGCAUUAAUGGAAGAUGCUGCAAAGCGAUUUUGUAAUCUAAGAUGCGGAUCAUUCCUUUUUGAAAAGAAGUAGAGCUGAAAUGAAUCAAACAAUGAAGAUAUCAGAAGUGUUCAAUGAUCAGAUGAUUAAAUAAAGAUUAAAUGUCAUA
This is a long non-coding RNA of Anolis carolinensis (green anole), 623 nucleotides long. RefSeq lists it as uncharacterized. The transcript is spliced from 3 exons. Lineage: Eukaryota; Metazoa; Chordata; Lepidosauria; Squamata; Anolidae. The record is from RefSeq and is a predicted model, not a curated record.